UGAUUCCUCACUGUUCCGCCAUCGUGGGCAGUGGCCUCCUCCACCGGCUAUGACUGCAGGGAAAAGGUCAAACUGAAGCCAUUUCAUCACAGGGCCUUCUGCCUCCUUAAGAUUGUGAAGAUUUAAUGCUGUAAUCCGGCUCCUAGAAGGAAAUGUAAUACAUCAGCAGCUCCUGAUAUAAGAAGGACAAUUUGCCCAGGAGGAAAUGCGCUCAUGGAUAGAAGCUGAUUUUCAUAGGCUCGCUGAUGUCUGCAAGGAUUCCCGUCUCCUAGGGCCUUUCAUCAACAAGAAGAGGCACAUUUUUCUUUCCCCAAUCAAGACAGACUUUUCAUGGCAGACCAAUUCGGCAGUAUUCUUCCUAGAAGCUCAGUCUGAGGUACUUUUUCAUCCUCCUCAAAAUUGUUUGGCCAUUUAACAUAUUUGUAUAAAUCCCUUUGCUGAAAUUUGUAAAGUAGAUUCUGAUCUUUGCAAGUGAAUGUAACUAACACAACUGUAUCUGGCAGGUGCUCCCUGUGUUAGAGUGGUUAGAAUUUAUAAAAACAUCAUAAGAGGGGAAAGUACCAAAUCUUUCUUUAACAUAAAAUACUUUUGC
Molecule: long non-coding RNA, 592 nt
Filed under: Chinchilla lanigera (long-tailed chinchilla)
Lineage: Eukaryota; Metazoa; Chordata; Mammalia; Rodentia; Chinchillidae
Description: lncRNA (ENSCLAG00000024434.1)
Source: RNAcentral